This is a long non-coding RNA of Vidua chalybeata, 434 nucleotides long. RefSeq lists it as uncharacterized. The transcript has 2 exons. Lineage: Eukaryota; Metazoa; Chordata; Aves; Passeriformes; Viduidae. The record is from RefSeq and is a predicted model, not a curated record.
GUUUUUCCCCACCCGUGGACAGGUUUCAUUCUCGCAUGGAGUGGUCAGACCCUCCUCAGGCCCGUGAAACGGUGACAGGCUGUGUAGGUUUUUCUUGUUUCCAGGUCUUGUUUUGAAUUGACUUUCAUGCAAUUGUUCUUUGUUUUUCCCAGGAAGAUUACACCUGGUGCCCGGACCGCAUGGGGAAGCGCCUGCACCGUCCGUGGAGCACAUCCAGUGCCAGCGCUACCCCAGGGGCCACGGCCUGCAGGGACAUCCCCUUCAAGAAGGACGAGGACCUCGUGUGGGAUCGGCUCCUCUCCUGGCAGCAGGUCUGCAGAGGCUGCCAGCACCUCAUGCCAUGGAAACGGCUCCGCUCGGCCUGCCAGGCUGGGAGGGCUGGAGGGUGGCGGGUGUUCAUUUGCUGUCGAAAAGAAAUCGUUCUAUUUUUUUGU